Molecule: RNA transcript, 1407 nt
Organism: Acinonyx jubatus (cheetah)
Lineage: Eukaryota; Metazoa; Chordata; Mammalia; Carnivora; Felidae
Gene: GNGT2
Gene name: G protein subunit gamma transducin 2
Exons: 4
Source: RefSeq, a predicted model, not a curated record
UCUGGGGGGAUUGGGGAGUGGAGGUGGAUUUUCCACUCAUGGAAGGGGAGGAAAGGGCAGAGGGUGGGGGUUUCCUUGGGAAGCUCAGGGAUGAGUCACCAAGGGCCUGGGGAGUGGAGGGUGGUGAGGCUAUGGAGACCAGUCGUGCUGGGGGCCGUAGGGUGUUGAGCAACAGUGGAACACAGCCAGCACGAGAGGAGUCGGCUCAGACACCGGGAAGACACAGCCAGAGGCCCCCUGAGAAGCGUUCCCAAGCCUCUGAAGGCUUAUGUGUGAGGGAGACCUGGGCCCAUGCCCUGUGCCUGAUGGAGGUAAGACGAGAUGACGCGGGAGAGACUCCGAUUAGACAACAGGAAGGAGUUGGCUUUGAGAAGCACCAGGUGUAAGGUCCAGAUUAGCCGGUGGAUUUCAGGAAGCAUCGGCGGACAGAGCAGCGAGCUGGUCUCAAGAGGUGCGUGCUUUCCAUCCUGCGUGAACAGGGCGGUUGGACUGGAGGCCUGCAGGGCCCUGGCCUGCCCUUAAAUUCUUAGCGCUCGCAGCUGGGGGUGGGGCUUGGCGUCUGGAGCCGGGGUGCGGGGAGUCAGGGUGGACUCCAGCCUCCUCCCAGCCCCUUCCAGUGCCCCUUGUGUCAACCCAGAGGGAGGAGAAGAAAAGGAUCCCUUACUGGCCAUAUUGGUGUCUCCGGCAUCUGCUUCUCGACAGGGUCCCUUUGUCGUGGGACAGGUGUCGGCCUGAGCCGGAGCUCAGGAUCUACGAAACAGCAUAGCCCUUAGGUGGUUCUGGAAGGAAGCCGAGAGAAAUAUCAGGAUGUGGGCCCCGUGCUCAGCGAUUGGAGAGGGAGACCCGCACUCAGGGCUCAGAGGGACACGUGAAGGCCAAGAAGCACGGACCCGGGCGUUAGAGGUGGCCGUGGCCCCAAGUGCUGGCAGGCACAGCCUCCUAAGUGAGGAGUCUUGUUUUCAGUAAGCAAAGGAAGGACUGGAUGAGCUGGAAGGAAAUUGUGAGGUGUCAUCGCAGGGCUCCAGGGGGAGACACCACUGUUUCUUGGACCAUCUGCUUUAUCUGAAGACUUCCAGCCGAUAAGCGGGGGAAGCUCAAACACCGUCUUGUCUGAGUCGGGGACUUGAAGUCCACAUUCUUUCCGGGCAGCUGCGAAAUCCUUUCCGGGACCCAGGUGUCCCGGGGGGCAGGAUGGCCCAGGAGCUCAGCGAGAAGGACCUGUUGAAGAUGAACGUUGAACAGCUCAAGAAGGAAGUGAAGAACACAAGAGUUCCGCCUCUGUCCCCACCCUGCCCAGGACCUGUUUUCUUGGACCGAGCGAAUCAUGGAUCCCACCAGACAAACAAGGACUCUAGGGCCACACUUUGUUUCCUCACAGAUUUCCAAGACGGGAAAGGAAAUCAAGGA